CCUACGGGAGGCAGCAGUGGGGAAUAUUGCACAAUGGGGGAAAGCCUGAUGCAGCGACGCCGCGUGAGGGAAGAAGGAUUUCGGUAUGUAAAGCUCUAUUAGUAGGGAAGAAAAUGACGGUACCUGACUAAGAAGCCCCGGCUAACUACGAGCCAGCAGCCGCGGGAAUACGUAGGGGGCAAGCGUGAUCCGGAUUUACUGGGUGUAAAGGGAGCGUAGACGGUUUUGCAAGCUAGAUGUGAAAGCCCGGGGCUCAACCCCGGGACUGCAUUUGAAACUGUAAGGCUGGAGUGUAGGAGAGGCAGGCGGAAUUCCUGGUGUAGCGGUGAAAUGCGUAGAUAUUAGGAGGAACACCAGUGGCGAAGGCGGCCUGCUGGACGAUGACUGACGUUGAGGCUCGAAAGCGUGGGGAGCAAACAGGAUUAGAUACCCCUGUAGUC
RNAcentral lists this ribosomal RNA (440 nucleotides) under uncultured bacterium. RNAcentral describes it as "partial 16S ribosomal RNA". It matches the Rfam family "Bacterial small subunit ribosomal RNA", at positions 338 to 795 of the family's 1533-position model. The record is from RNAcentral.